Molecule: long non-coding RNA, 8121 nt
Filed under: Lactuca sativa (garden lettuce)
Lineage: Eukaryota; Viridiplantae; Streptophyta; Magnoliopsida; Asterales; Asteraceae
Description: long non-coding RNA (LSAT_LNC008899)
Source: RNAcentral
UUAUCAUAUGUUAAAUAGGUCAUUGUGUGUGUUCGAGUCCUUGCGUGACACCGAACGCCCAACCGACACCUUCGUCGGAGCUACUUACGCCAGGUGAGUUCAUACCCCUGAAUGAACCUUUUAAAUGUUUUUACAUGUUUUAUAGGGGGGAGUACAAGUUAAACAUGCCAGUUAUCAUAUCAAUCACAUGUGAUUGAUAACCCGCAUGCACAAGGUUUUAUCACUGUACACUGUUUUUACCGAGUAGGAUGCUAUAAAUGGUUUUCAAAAAGGUUUUCACUUGUUCAAAACUCUUACUUAUACUGUUUUUAUCAAAGUUCAUUUCAAACUGGGUUAUGAAAAGUUUCCAAGGAAUUUAUAAAGUUCUUUCAAACUUAUUUUACCAAAGAAUACCAAAUGUGAAUUUACCUGAGUAUAAAGGUCUUUCCCAAGGCUUUCAUCGAAGUUCUCUUUCACAACGUAUACUUUUACUUGUUAGUUACUGAUGCUUCGCUUUUACUUAUUUUAUACUCCUACUUGGUAACGCUUUCACUUCUUGAAGCGCUUAUACCUAUUACUGCCUCUAUUUCACUUAUACUGGUAGUCACUUAUACCUGAUAGACGCUCUUACUUCACCAGUCGUCGCUUCUACUUCGUGGUACACUUAUACUUGAAAACGUUUCCACUUCGUGAUACACUUAUACCUGUUGGACGCUUAUACUUGUUCACACUCUUGCUUAGUGAUACGCUUCUACUUCACUUAUACUUGAUAUCGCUUCUACUUCACUUAAACUCGAUACGCUCCUACUUCAUUUGUUGUCGUUUCUACUUUGUGAUACACUUACUUGUGGCACGCUUAUACUUCACAAUUUGGUUAUUCCACACUGUACACUUAUACUUCACAAUAUGAAUCCACUUGUUACACACUCAAGCGUAGUUAGAUGUAUGUUUGUGCUUGCUUAGAUGCAUAUAAGUAAUGAUUGAAGGACUUAGGAAGGCUUGUCCGCCCUAUUUCCUUUUCUUCGUUGAGAUGUGGUCUGGUGGGAUCGGAUGUCCAUCCGAAGGUCGUUUGAUUCAUUAGUUAUAUACUAUGUACACAAGCAUAGACAUAUGGGUUUACUUCAGUCAGUUCAGUUAUGAGUCUCUACCUCUAGUUCAGCACUUACAUUAGAAACCCACUACCCACUAUUUGGGAUGCAUCUUCAGGACGCGGCCUUCUCCGUCGUCUAGUUGGUAACCAGAGUCUCCUGUAGGAGAGCGGACAUUGUGUGUAUAGAUCUAUACGGGAUUGACACCCCCGCACCCUGACUGCUAGCUACAGUCCACGGCCUACCAAGCCAAGGGGUGACAAAUGUCAUAUUCUUUAGACGCUUGUAGGGCGUCUGGUACUCUAGUGUCGGUUAGUAUGGUUACGAGUAUCCCAGGUUGCCUUAUAAUUCAUGGCCUUAAGGUAACGGUAUUUCGCCAGCAAUUUACACUGUAUGCUGGUAAUUCAAUUUCAGAGUCACACUGUUUUGACCUUACAAGACGUAUCUUUCAUUUGAUACUGUCUGGGGUCUGUCUCCUCUGUUUUGACCUUACAAGACGUAUCUCUCAUUUGAUGCUGUCUGGGGUCUGUAUCCACUGUAUUCACUGUAUCCACUGUAUUCACUGUUUUAGACCUUGCUAGACAUAUCUUUCAUUUGAUAUUGUCUGCGGUCUGUAUUCACUGUUUUGGACCUUACCAGCUGUACCUUUCAUUUGGUACCUUCUGGGGUCUGUGUCUCAUUUUGUUAGACUGAACCAGGCGUGUCGUUCGUUCGACACCCUCCUGGAGUCUAUGAUUCCUUGCCUUAGUCAGUAGUCCUCACUGCUGAGGCGUAUGUUAUUCCCUGAUGUUGUUGCUUUCUUUAAUAAUCAAAUUGAAUAUUUUGAUAAUGAUAGCAAUUUAGGGAAAACUACUUUUUACCACAUAACACUGACCAGUCUUGGUAGAAGGCUGCUUUAUUUAAAGAAGAUAUAGGAUUUUCUGGAAAGAACUCUAAUACACAGUAAACACUUAACUACUACUUCAUAAAGUUAUUUGACAAAAUGACACUAAAUACUUAUGAACUCACCAGCAUUGUAAAAAUGCUGAUACUCGCUUUUCAAAUAACUUGUAUUCUCAGGUUAGCAUUAGACAGGUACAUCCCCGGAGCUGUUGAUGAAGAUAGCUUAGUAGCACACUGAAUUUAUUCUAUUACUUGUAUUACUUUUUUGUAAUGUAAUAUGAAUCAUGUAAAACUAUUACUAUUAAUGCAAUGUUUUGUUGUACUUUGAUUACUAUAAUGCAUGUGUUGUGAUACUUGACAUGACGUCAUCCACCCCAGAACGUUUCCGCCGUUUCGGUGUUGGGAUGUGACAGAUUGGUAUCAGAGCAUUGUUUAUAGUGAGCUAAGUAUAUCAAUUCAUAAAAGAUAUACAGCCUAUAAAUACAAAAGGGAUAAAACACUCUGACCAAGAAUUAUACUUUAAAAUAUAACCAUAUUUUACCAAAGUAUAGUAACAUCCAAAAUCUAAAUACUCGAACAAAAGUAUCACAAGAAGAAUAAUGAUAAAAGUCUUCGGAUGUUGAGCAUUACCGUCAAACCUGGGCAGUUAUGUAAUCAUAAGCUGGAAUAAAUGUAACCUGAUCAACUACAUUUAUUCGAGAUGCGAUGAACGUGUGCUUGAGAGUGAUAGUGUUGUUGCAACAGGUCUGUAACUUACCAACUAGGAAUGUUAGAGCCAAACAUAAAGGUAAAAUACUAUAGGAGUAUUUUGGAACACUAAAAGAUUCACACUAAUCCCAUAAUCAUAACUCGAAGAUAAGAAUCAAACAAGAAUUAAAAUACCAUAGGGGUAUUUUAUGAUCCAUAACUAACCUUGCGUGAAUAACUAAAAAGAUCCUUAUUGAUAUACCUACAACUACAGAGGGUGUACUCCCAAGGUUAUAUAUAAUAAGGAUCCCAUAGGCUAAGAAUGUGUGGUUUCGCUCUACUUCCUUUUCCUCGUUGGGAUGUGGAUCUAGAGUAGUAUCACAUAUUCGAAGGCCUAUCGGAUCUAAGCUAUAUAUGAUUUGUAUACCCUGUGUAAUCGUAGCAGGACUCGAUAUGGAUCAUCCAGUGAAAUGUUAAUAAUCUCUUAGGAUUCUUUAGACAUUUCCUUUCUCGCAAGCACCCCGUAGAAAACCCUACCCACUUCAGUGCUUGACAGAAGAGUUGAGUCCGACCCCGAAGAAGUUCAUUGAGAAGAUUUCCAGCUCGGAAACGAAUGAACUAGGUCGAGGCUAUUGAAUUCACCAAGUGCCUAUAUCUUUUAGGGACAUCGGUGAGGAAUUCGCCUAAACUUCGGAGAUUCCCAGUCAUCUGUCAUGAAAUGAUGACACCCAGAGUCGGAAUCAGAAGGAGGGCGGAGUAGAAAUUCAAUAUGUCCGUACGAGAAGACAACCCUAGGAAACUACCCGAAGGAAACCAACGCCGAUACCAGCCAAAGAUACAAGGCAGACAGAGGGAGCCAGUGCAUGGAACCCGAGAAUUGUCUUUUCCUCGUGUUCGUCACGCUAAUACACCCAUAAAAUAAUACAAAUUAGUGAGUUAAUGGUUACACUACUCACGCUAUGUGUUAGGUAAACCGUCGUUUCCCAUUGCCAGAUACACGAUUAGAGCGGAUCCCCGCACCUCUAUUAAGGAUAUUCAGCCAUAAGCCUUCAUAAGGCUCUCUUUCCGCAGUUUCGUUCCGAACCGUUCUCAAAUCUCUCCAGGCCGGAGAGUGAAACCUUUCCCAGUAUAAAGGUAACUUAGUAGGAACGACUCGCAUCUUAUGGCCUUUUUUCGAUACUCAUACACCCACUUUGAUUACCAGGACUACAUAAUAGGGAUGUAGGUCGACACUCAGACGACCAGUACUUAAGGCACGGGAAAAAUUUAUGCCUAAUACGUUCAGGACAGAAAUGUCCAGGGUUAACCAUCGUCUCUAAUUACCUUGUAUUCCUUUCCGUGUAGGAAAACCAUGCCACCGAAGAAGCGUAACCAAUCCAAAAGCAAGAAACUUGCUCUCUUAUUCGAUGAAGCUACGUUCCAAGCUGCAGUCUCAGCAGCCGUAGCAGCUGUCAUGGCUCACCUGAAUGCUAACACCGCCAACGUUAGCAAGGGCCCUGUCGGGAUUUCCAAUCCUGGCGAUGGACAGCAAAAACCAACACUUUCAUACCCAGUCACCCAAGAACCUUCACCGAACCCACUAAAGAGAAAACUCAAGAUUGAGGAGGUAAGUACCUCGGCUCAAGGACCUUCUGAAAGGCGACGAGUUGAGGCAGUCUAUACCCCCGUCAAUCCUUCCCUCCCGACCUCAAGAAGACCAUACCUAGGAGACCUUCCCCACUGCAGCAAGUGCAGCUACCAUCAUCAUGGUGCCUGCCGGGAACUCUUAUGUGCUAGGUGCAACAUGAAGGGGCAUACUGCUCGUGUAUGCAGAACUCCGGUGGAGCGUAUUGCAUCAAUCACCAAUGUGACGACCAAUCCAGUUUGUUGUCUUGUGUGCCCGUUCGGCACAUGACUCUAUCGAUCUUCAUUAUAUAACAUGUCGAAGUGUGCCAACUUUGAUGACCCUAUCGAUCAUGAUUUAACUUCGUUCAGCCAUGUGUUCAUCCUUAGUGCUGUGUAAAAGAACUUUCUUCGUAGCCAUGUCGGCGCAUAAAGGUUCUUCCGAACCUAAACCUAACACAAAUAAUCAAACCUAAUGCGAUCCGUCAAUCGUCUCUCUUAUCUCAAACCUUCCGAAGUACCCAAGAGAGGGUACUAUACACUGUUGACCAACCCCUCGUAGUCAGAUGGACACUAAAGUGAACGACACUGCAGAUACUCCAGUAGACGACAACCGACCGAAGCAUACUCCGUAGAUUCCCCGGGAGAUCCUUCGCACCUCGCACAUCAGGUUCGUGAACCCAUAAAAUAGAACUCAUGAGACUGACCACUAUAACCAGGUAUAUGCAUAAAGGUGGCAUAUAAUUGAGAUCAAAAAGAUUUAAGGUGUGUGUUUCCUCCCUACUCCCUGUUCCUCGUUGGGUUGUGGGUUUGGGGUGGAGUCGCACAGCUGAUCAUCCUGCCGACCUCAAUUGUAUACUGCUUGCAUACACCAAGUACUGGUGGUUAAGCCAAGCAUGAGCUCUACCACGAACCUCUUCGCAAAACACUUUCACCCUAUUCCAUAACAUAGGAGCCGGAGUCAAGAGAAUCACUGCGGGAUAAGCUAGUAAAGUCCUGAGUGAUGAGACCCUAUACUCACUAGAAUUGAUCUAGACCGAGGAAACUCAGAACCUUCGGAAGAGUAGUUGCAGUAGAUGCUCUUACUACUCAGGCACCUUGCCCACCCUGUUAUAGACAAGUGGUGCUUAUCAUCCUCCACCCUCUCUCAAGGAGGAAAUCGUCAUCGCCCGGUAGACGAAGAAUCACACUUUCCGAAGUAAACACUAGAAUACCGAGAACCAUAGGAUAACCUUCGCAGCCAAGAAUACUUGAUCAAAGAGCGAAAGUAGUUGCGUUAGCCUCAUGACCCUGAUCCCGAAGAGGUUAUAGACUUGACACCAGUCCUGGUGUUAGUCGAAGGGUUAUGCAGGAGCAUACACUUUCCACGCUAGAAUAAACCAUGGUCUUAGAGAUUCAUUGGACUAUUAGGUGUUCCACGAAUACUAUCUCACGCAGAGAUAGUAGAACCACCUCCCGAGAUAUUCCAACACUCGUCUGGUGAAACCUUAUAUUCCCGACCUCCAGGGUUUCCGCAUCUCAAGCUUCGUUAGUGCAGAUUCCUUUUGCACAAGCUUGAGAUAGACACUCUACAGCAAACCGAUAACCAUAGUCAUGCAACCCACUCGACGAUCUAGAAAGUCUCUAUCAGCCAGUUGACAGAAAACACGAAACCAAAGACCACUCGAGAUUCCUAAGAACCAACCUGGAGGACUACAUGCACAGUACGAGUGAGAAUGUUAGGAACUUCGGAAUGGCGAUCACGCCAGUGAUGAUCUUGCCAUAGAAGUACACUAUGUUCUGAGUACUGAAAAGCUCUACCUUUCCGAGAGCUUAGGACCAUAUGAGAAUUCUCAUGGAGAUUUGGUCCAACCCUAUUCAGGCCACUACUACCUUCGGAUAUACCACAAGAUUCACACCCGGUCGAUCCACUUCUUAGACUUGAUAUGUGAUUUCCCAACAACACUCUUCGUGCCUCACUCAUCUUCAUAGAAUCCAUUGAGAACUCUAACCCUGUAAAUACACCAGUUGGAACCCACUAGCUACACGAGACGGAAUCCACAUCCCGUACGUGAAGGUCUGUCGAAAUGACAAACAUAGACUAGAGUUAACUUGGGAAUGCGAGGACAACCAUAUAGGAAGUACUCUCUUACCUCUACUUGGCCAUUCAUACCUACUUCCUUACCUAGACCUGAAUUUCGAGACGAAAUUCCCUCUAACGGGGGGAUGAUGUGACAACCCAAAGUUUAUUCCGUUACAUUACCCCGUUACCAUUAACGGAAUAUUCCACUGUAUAAAGGUUCCGUUAAUAAGAGGUCGUUAAAUAAAUAAAUGUUUUAUUUAUUUAUGUUUUUAUGUCGUUAUAGUCGUACUAAGGUAAAUGAAAACACUUAAAUUACAUUUCCAAAGUAAUUUAGAAAAAGUUUGUUUUAUUAUUAUGACCACUAAAUCGGGUGCGACCAAAAGCCCCGUAUAACGACAGUAUCGGGUAGAAUCCCACUGAGCCCCAACUCCAACCCCUAUAUAAGGGUGAGUGGAGUCCAUUGGAGAAUUUUUACACUCUCCAAACUCUCUCUGUCUACAACUUUUUCCCGAGCCAAAAAUCGUCCGUUUCGAGCCCCAAACAAGUAGGUAAACUAUCCUAACUCAUUGUAUAACUUAUCUAGCGUACACAUUCGAGUUUAAAACAUAAAAAAGGGACAAUAUCAUGAGUUUAUGGCCCCAGAACACUCUUGGGCCGUGAACACCAAUUAAUGGGGUUUUUAAGCGCCAAAACCCCUCCAAAUUGUCCCUAAGGCUUAUAUAUGACUUGUAGGCUUAUGGAAUCGGACUUAGAACACCUUGAACUAGAAUUUAGAAGAGUAAACAAGAGUUUACUGCCCAAGAACAUGCUUGGGCCAUAAACUCCUCCUCAUGGGGAGUAAACUCAUUUUUGUGUGUUAAAAAUGCCCUUAAACAUACCAAUGGCCUUGGAUUAAAUUCUAGAAUCGACCAACAACAAGCUAGGGACCUUAAAUGCAAUUAAAACAACUCCAUAAGGAGUUUACGGCCGUAAACCCCUCAUGGAAGGGUACCUGGGCUGUAAACUCCCACAAAAGGGGUUAUUUGGUGCCCUAAACUCCCCAUUUGACUUGGAAAAAUGCUUAGGAAAUUACCCACUACCACUUAAGCCCUUAAAACACCAAAAGAAAGACGGUAUAGGAGCUUACGUCCAGAAGCUCCCUUGCUUAUGGUCGUAAACUCCUCAAAGGGGCCAUUUCAUGCCUUAAACCUAUUUACACAAUUGAUAUUUGAGCCUAGCAUAAAUCUACAAUGGAUAUGAGACACUUUAGCACACUAGAUACCCUCACCAUGAGUUGACGGCCGUAAACUCAUGGUGAAUAGUCCCUGGGCCAUAAACUAAGUAUUAAGGGUUUACUCUCGGAGAGUAAACUCCAUUCCUAAGCCACACACACCUUUAGACGCUACCCGGGACACCCAAACACUUAUCCAAAGUGUUUUCCGCUCCUUUGAGCGUGUAUAUUUGUUAAAUUAGUAUUAAAUAUACUAAUUGUAUGUGAACAUAUGUUAUCAUAUGUUAAAUAGGUCAUUGUGUGUGUUCGAGUCCUUGCGUGACACCGAACGCCCAAACGGCACCUUCGUCGGACCUACUUACACCAGGUGAGUUCAUACCCCUGAAUGAACCUUUCAAUGUUUUUACAUGUUUUAUAGGGGGGAAUACAAGUUAAACAUGCCAGUUAUCAUAUCAAUCACAUGUGAUUGAUAACCCGCAUGCACAAGGUUUUACCACUGUACACUGUUUUUACCGAGUAGGAUGCUAUAAAUGGUUUUCAAAAAGGUUUUCACUUGUUCAAAACUCUUACUUAUACUGUUUUUAUCAAAGUUCAUUUCAAACUGGGUUAUG